Molecule: long non-coding RNA, 239 nt
Filed under: Gossypium raimondii (Peruvian cotton)
Lineage: Eukaryota; Viridiplantae; Streptophyta; Magnoliopsida; Malvales; Malvaceae
Description: long non-coding RNA (GRAI_LNC001002)
Source: RNAcentral
UUGGGUUAGGUUUGGGAUUGUAAUUUGGGCCGGUGUGUUUUUUUUUUUGUUGUAAAUGGACUUUAUUUAUUUUUGUUUUUGGUUUGUUUUUGUUUGGGCCAAACAGAUUUGGGCCAUUACAAUAUGUAAUAGUUGAAAAUAAACUCUUUCUAAUUUUCUGUAGAAUAGCAAUCUCUUAAAGUUGUGUUAAUAGCUCUACCAGUGUCAUCUAUUUAUAGGAAGAGAGGGUAGAACCCUUA